Molecule: non-coding RNA, 70 nt
Organism: Parelaphostrongylus tenuis
Lineage: Eukaryota; Metazoa; Nematoda; Chromadorea; Rhabditida; Metastrongylidae
Source: the annotation of a GenBank genome assembly
GCCUCGGCGGUGUAGUGGUAGCACGUGCUCCCGGAACGGAUGAACGUGGGUUCAACUUCCGCCUGGGGUC